AGAAAGUUAACAGAGAAUCCAUAAUGAAAGUUCAUUCCAGUUAAAUAAAGAGUCUUAUUCCAUUGGUGAUUGUGUCUAUCUCUCCCCUGAUACAUAUUCAUUUCCUAAAGUUAAGAAAACCAGUGGAACUAAUACUGCCAAUAAGAAACAAAAGAAGGAAGAGGAAGAGUUUGAUGAGUUUGAAUAUCCUGAGAAGUAUCGAAAGGUUUCUGAUUAUGUCAAAGGCAGUAACAUUGACUCUCCUAGCCCGUUUCAAAUUGGUCAAAUAUUAGAGAUAUUUUCUAAAUCAUUGACUGAUUGAUGGAGCAUCAGUAGGAUUAGGAUUAGUAACAACAGUACCUGGAAUAAAUAAUA
This is a long non-coding RNA of Amphimedon queenslandica, 354 nucleotides long. RefSeq lists it as uncharacterized. The record is from RefSeq and is a predicted model, not a curated record. The transcript is spliced from 4 exons. Lineage: Eukaryota; Metazoa; Porifera; Demospongiae; Haplosclerida; Niphatidae.